UACGUAGGGGGCAAGCGUUGUUCGGAAUUACUGGGCGUAAAGGGCGCGUAGGCGGCACGGCAAGUCAGGAGUGAAAGCCCGGGGCUCAACCCCGGAACGGCUUUUGAAACUGCCGAGCUAGAGUGCGGAAGAGGCAACUGGAAUUCCCAGUGUAGCGGUGAAAUGCGUAGAUAUUGGGAAGAACACCGGAGGCGAAGGCGGGUUGCUGGGCCGACACUGACGCUGAGGCGCGAAAGCCAGGGGAGCAAACGGG
RNAcentral lists this ribosomal RNA (253 nucleotides) under uncultured bacterium. Its description in RNAcentral is "partial 16S ribosomal RNA". It matches the Rfam family "Bacterial small subunit ribosomal RNA", at positions 524 to 776 of the family's 1533-position model. The record is from RNAcentral.